AAAAAGGGACGCUUUCCUUGUUCCAAACGACGCCGCAAGGAUAAGUCUUGGCCUUGCCUACGAGCACACAAAACGGGGGACCCAAUCCAACAACGGCUCUCAUCAUUCAAAAAGAUGCACACGUGCACUGGCGCUUAUUUUAAAAAGCUGAGCCAGUUAAUCCCAAUCAUAACAAAACACACUUAGAGUAUUAUUAGCAUUAAACUAUUAAUAAUCUGAGCUGUAAUCACUUA
This 233-nucleotide unclassified non-coding RNA is filed under the name Hevea brasiliensis (rubber tree). Lineage: Eukaryota; Viridiplantae; Streptophyta; Magnoliopsida; Malpighiales; Euphorbiaceae. The record is from RNAcentral.